Molecule: transfer RNA, 83 nt
Rfam family: tRNA
About the family: Transfer RNA (tRNA) molecules are approximately 80 nucleotides in length. Their secondary structure includes four short double-helical elements and three loops (D, anti-codon, and T loops).
Source: Rfam
UCUUCCGUAGUAUAGUGGUUAGUAUGUGAGCUUGUCACUUCAUGACAUCGCUCGAGACCCGGGUUCAAUUCCCGGCGGGAGAG